RNAcentral lists this ribosomal RNA (500 nucleotides) under uncultured bacterium. RNAcentral's name for it is "partial 16S ribosomal RNA". It matches the Rfam family "Bacterial small subunit ribosomal RNA", at positions 30 to 523 of the family's 1533-position model. The record is from RNAcentral.
AUUGAACGCUGGCGGCAGGCCUAACACAUGCAAGUCGAGCGGAUGAAGGUAGCUUGCUACCUGAUUCAGCGGCGGACGGGUGAGUAAUGCCUAGGAAUCUGCCUGGUAGUGGGGGACAACGUUUCGAAAGGAACGCUAAUACCGCAUACGUCCUACGGGAGAAAGUGGGGGAUCUUCGGACCUCACGCUAUCAGAUGAGCCUAGGUACGAGUAGAUAGGUGGUGAGGUAAAGGCGCACCAAGGAGACGAUCGUUAUCUGGUCUGAGAGGAUGGUCAGUCACACUGGGACUGGGACACUGUCCAGUCUCCUACGGGAGGCAGCAGUUGCGAAUAUUGGACCAUGGGCUAAAGCCUGAUCCAGCCCUGCGGCGUGUGUGAAGAAGGUCUUCGGAUUGUAAAGCACUUUAAGUUGGGAGGAAGGGCAGUAAGUUAAUACCUUGCUGUUUUGACGUUACCGACAGAAUAAGCACCGGCUAACUUCGUGCCAGCCGCCGCCGUAA